UGACCUGUAUAAUGAACCUAAUUAUGCCUAAUGAUUAGGAUGGCAUGAUCAAAAUGCAUCAAAUGCUCCUAACUAAACAUGUGUGAAUGGUGUUUGCAUGAAUGCAAAAUUUUAUUUUUCCAAGAAUGAUCCCGCUUAGGUUGUUAUUACUCGAAGUUUAUUAAGGCUUUGUGACUGGCGUGCUACAAUGCCUUCUUGCUUGACUGGCUUUUCUG
RNAcentral lists this long non-coding RNA (215 nucleotides) under Gossypium barbadense (sea-island cotton). RNAcentral describes it as "long non-coding RNA (GBAR_LNC014197)". The record is from RNAcentral. Lineage: Eukaryota; Viridiplantae; Streptophyta; Magnoliopsida; Malvales; Malvaceae.